AUUCUAUUGAGGCAAAAUAUUUAACAUGCAAUCUGCCUGCUAAAGAAAAAUUUAAGUGUACCUGACGCUAACAUGGGCUGUAGCUAGAUAGCUACAGUGUUAUACAGCAGAUCUCUAGAACUAUUUUUUAUCUUAUUAACUGAAGUUUUAUGCCCAGUGAUUCUUAGCUCCCAAUUUCCUCGUCCUCUGAGCCCCAGGCACCCAAAUUCCACCUUGAUUGAAUGAAUUUGACUAUUUUAAAUGAGUGGAUAAGUGGCAUCAUACCAUAUCUGUCUUCUGGGUCUCCCUUAUUUCACUCAGCCUGACACCUGAAGGCUCAUUGGUGUUACUGUAUGUUGCAAAAUUUCUUUCUUUUUAAAAGGCCAAAUAGUAUUCCAUUGUAUUUAAUGUUUUAGUUAUAUUUCUCCCCAUAUGUUUUUCUUAGUACUGCCAUGUUUCAGCAGAGUGCAGGUUCAAGGACGAAGGAAAAUACAAGCAAAGACACGAGGUUGCAAAACACACGGAAACGUUGCCAUGGGAAAUUCUGGAAGUGUGGAGGCGACACCAGCAUCUGCAACUUGCCCAGGCUCCUCUGAUGUCCUCUUUUACAAGAAGGUUUGUCCUGGACACAGAAAUGAAGGCAUCCAGGGAGCAUGGCCCAGGGAAGACUGUAUGGGAGGUGGAGUUGGAGAGGGCCCAACAAAGGCAAGUUGCAGGAGGGGAAAGUGGUGAAUUUGUCAAGGCAAGAUCAUGAAAAAGACUUUGUAGGCAGUGGGAGGACUUGGGUCUGUUGGGAGUGAGGCAGAGAACCAUUGGGGAGUUUCAGCAGUGAAAUAAUGUGGUCUGACUUAGGUUCAGAGAAUGGGUUUGAGUUGAAGAGUAGAAACAGAGUCGAGUGAGGAGUUUGUCCAGUAAUCCAGGACUCAGGCAAGGGUCCUGGAUGAUGCAUCUUAGACCAAGAUGAUGACAGUGGCAACAGAGGAUGUGGGUGGUUUCUGAAUGUACCUUGAAAAUUCAGUCAAGAAGAUUUCUUCUUAAUUUGGCUGUGUGGUGUGAGAGAAAGAGUGAAUAAAAAAAUGAUUCUAACAAAAAUAGCCAGCCUAUGACUCUCGUUCAUAAUUAUCCUCUAAACAAGAAAAUUUCAUUGUGCCUCAACAUUCCAAGGCCAGCUCAGGACCAUUGUUAAAGAAGUGUGAGUACCCAGGUGAAAGGUACACGUAAGGGGAUCAGUACUACACAUGUUCUAAGGGGCAGGUUGAAGAUAGACAAACCUAAUUUGUCUAUGCCUACAGCA
Molecule: long non-coding RNA, 1273 nt
Filed under: Fukomys damarensis (Damara mole-rat)
Lineage: Eukaryota; Metazoa; Chordata; Mammalia; Rodentia; Bathyergidae
Description: lncRNA (ENSFDAG00000023854.1)
Source: RNAcentral